GUCGUAGAUAUGUGUGUGUGUGUGUGUGUGUGUGUUUGGGUGUGUGUCUGUGUGCUUGUGUGUGUGUGUGGGCGUGGCGUAUUGGGUCAGACAGUUGUGCAAACAGCUGCUAACAGCUACGACACACUCAAAGGUGUGUCCGUGUCAGCGCGCUGACAUCAUCGUCGACAACGUUGGCAACGCCUUCAAAAUGGCCGUCGACACUUUGUUCAUCGUUCCCGUUAUUGCUGUUGUUGCUGUCGUUGUUGUUGCUGUUGCUGUUGUCUUUAUGGUCUGGCUGUUGUCGUCGCUGUCCCCUGCUGUCCCUUGGGGCGCGGCAGCGCAUUUAAUUUGAUUAACCCAAUUCACGCAGCCAGUGUGUUGAGAUGUGUAGCACAGUAGCCGGCAUAAACACUAUUCUUGGCCCUUGUUUGUACAGGAGACGCAUUUGAUAUUUAUAUAUAUAGAUGUAUAUAUAUAAGAACAACCUGUACGAGUGUUGCGUGUAACAGCAAAAGAGAGACAGAGAGAUAGAGAGAGAGCGAGAGAGAGAGAGAGAGUGAGAGCGAGAGUGUGGGGACAUUGAAAAGAUUACUGCAUUGUGUGAGUGUUUGUGUGUGUGUUUGGAAACUCGCUGGAAACUUUUGUAAUGCAUUCAAAGAAAUUCGGAAAUUUACAACUGCUUAUCGAAGAAUAAAAAAAGUUAUUAUUCCGACUCAAUUUAUAUAUUUUUCAAUUUGAGGUACAGAAACAUGCAAGAGCUGUGGAUCAGAUAGUCUACUAGAGUGUAAAGAGAGGGGGAGACGGAGACAGAGAACGUUGGUGAGAGAAUAUUAGUUGUAUUUGACAGAUAUAGAGACAGAGACAGAUAAAGAGAGAGACUUAAAUGGAAAUUAAGACAAAGUGUAAAAGAGCACAAAAUGUUAGCAAAAACAAAAUUUUUUAAAUGUUUUCUUUUUUUUUAAGCAUUUCUUUGAAACAUUACAAAAGCGCUUAACUCUAAAGAGUAUAGAUAUUAUGUAUAUAUAUAUAGGCAAUUGUAUAUAUAUUAUUGAAUAGUAUAAUGCUUCCAUACACAUAAACUAGUUCUUAAGUUGUCAUAAGCAAUACAGUAAUAUUUUCAAUUACAAACAGAAAGUACCAGCUCGAGCAAGCCAUGUGUGGAGAACUGGAGUACUACGAGUACUAUCUCGCUUGUAUGUGUGUGUGGGUAUGUGGGUGUGUGUGUGUAUGUUUCGAUAUUGAAAUYAAGAGAGUCGAGCAGAGAGCACACAUUGAUAAACGCCCAAUGAAAGGUUUUUCAGAAAGCUUUCAAAUGAAGUUAGCAAAAUUAAAAGGGAGUCAAGGAUAAUUUGUUUAAGUUAACUUAAGAGCAAACAGUUAUGUAUACCAGCAAAUCUAAUUGUAUUAAUUAGCAAAAUAAUUACAAAAUAAGUUUAGAUCAGAAAUAAACUCAUAAUAAAUAGCAAAAUAAAUAUGGAAAUAAUUUA
Drosophila arizonae is the source of this 1469-nucleotide long non-coding RNA. The record is from RefSeq and is a predicted model, not a curated record. Lineage: Eukaryota; Metazoa; Arthropoda; Insecta; Diptera; Drosophilidae.